AAAAAACCAUAGAUUUAUCAUAUUAUAAUAUUCGUCAUCUGUGGUAUACGGCAAUCGAUGACAUUCGUCGAAGACGAUUAACAAUUCUAUAAUAUAGUCUUAAUGAACAGUACUGAAGUACAUGACAAAAUCACGAUUGAAGAUUGAUAUGAAGAAAAUUUGCAGUUUCUUCGGCGGCGGUGCACUACUACGUAUAGUCUGAAGAUUGACACAACUCGGUUUCACGGGAACAGUCGACGCUUAAAUCUUGCCAUAAUAUCGGAAAAACAAAAAAAGUGAAAUAAUUACGCUAUAACCCGGAGGACGAUUGGCAGUAUUAUUAAGAAGCUCAUCUGAAUAACACAAA
Long non-coding RNA from Rhopalosiphum padi (bird cherry-oat aphid), 346 nucleotides. RefSeq lists it as uncharacterized. NCBI's taxonomy places the organism in Eukaryota, Metazoa, Arthropoda, Insecta, Hemiptera, Aphididae. The record is from RefSeq and is a predicted model, not a curated record. The transcript is spliced from 3 exons.